CAGUCGCCGCGGUAAUACGUAUGGUGCAAGCGUUAAUCGGAAUUACUGGGCGUAAAGCGUGCGCAGGCGGUUAUAUAAGACAGAUGUGAAAUCCCCGGGCUCAACCUGGGAACUGCAUUUGUGACUGUAUAGCUAGAGUACGGCAGAGGGGGAUGGAAUUCCGCGUGUAGCAGUGAAAUGCGUAGAUAUGCGGAGGAACACCGAUGGCGAAGGCAAUCCCCUGGGCCUGUACUGACGCUCAUGCACGAAAGCGUGGGGAGCAAACAGGAUUAGAUACCCCCGUAGUCCCUGUCUCUUAUAC
Molecule: ribosomal RNA, 301 nt
Filed under: uncultured bacterium
Lineage: Bacteria
Description: partial 16S ribosomal RNA
Rfam family: Bacterial small subunit ribosomal RNA
Source: RNAcentral